UAAGGAAUAUUGGUCAAUGGACGCAAGUCUGAACCAGCCAUGCCGCGUGGAGGAUGAAGGUCCUCUGGAUUGUAAACUUCUUUUAUCUGGGAAGAAAUGGUUCUUUUCUAAGGAUCUUGACGGUACCAGAUGAAUAAGCACCGGCUAACUCCGUGCCAGCAGCCGCGGUAAUACGGAGGGUGCAAGCGUUAUCCGGAUUCACUGGGUUUAAAGGGUGCGUAGGCGGAAAAGUAAGUCCGUGGUGAAAUCUCCGAGCUUAACUCGGAAACUGCCGUGGAUACUAUUUUUCUUGAAUGUUGUGGAGGGUUGCGGAAUAUGUCAUGUAGCGGUGAAAUGCUUAGAUAUGACAUAGAACACCGAUUGCGAAGGCAGCAGGCUACACAAAUAUUGACGCUGAGGCACGAAAGCGUGGGGAUCAAACA
This 422-nucleotide ribosomal RNA is filed under the name uncultured Chitinophaga sp. RNAcentral describes it as "bacterial SSU rRNA". It matches the Rfam family "Bacterial small subunit ribosomal RNA", at positions 355 to 774 of the family's 1533-position model. Lineage: Bacteria; Pseudomonadati; Bacteroidota; Chitinophagia; Chitinophagales; Chitinophagaceae. The record is from RNAcentral.